CUGCCCCGAGCCCGACUCGCCCUUCCGCCGCAGCCCGCCCCGCGGCCCCGCCUCCCCCCAGCGCUGACCUCAGAACCCCGGACCCCUGGGCUCCUGAGACAGGCGGAAGGACGGAAGGACGGACAGGUCUGGGUGCUGGCUAGAUGGACGGCGUCAUCUACGCGGAGGAGACAGUCGGGGGGCCGGGGGGCCCUGAAAAUGAGACUGAGCUCCCCAGUGCCUCCACUUUAUGGGUCUGGACUUCUGCAUUCUGCUCCUUCUCUGGAUGCCGCCCUCAGGAAGACUUCCAGGAUUGACUGUGCCCAGUCUCAGCACCCUCCUCUCAGGAGCCCUUACAGUGGCAAGGGCCUGGGAACUUGCUGUACUCUGAGUUGCUUUCCAUACACUGCAUUUGACUUUGCUUAUACAGGACCUGUUACGGUGUCUGUUAGCCAAGAGUGUGGCACACAUGGCCGGCUUUCUUUUUAAAGAUGGACUCCUCAUUCUUAAACAAGUCACAGUGUAGCUCGAGUCCCCAUCAUGAGAAGUCACAGUGUGGCUGGAGUCCCCAUCA
Peromyscus maniculatus bairdii (prairie deer mouse) is the source of this 553-nucleotide non-coding RNA. Lineage: Eukaryota; Metazoa; Chordata; Mammalia; Rodentia; Cricetidae. The record is from RefSeq and is a predicted model, not a curated record.